This 379-nucleotide unclassified non-coding RNA is filed under the name uncultured Gammaproteobacteria bacterium. RNAcentral's name for it is "contains 16S-23S intergenic spacer region". Lineage: Bacteria; Pseudomonadati; Pseudomonadota; Gammaproteobacteria. The record is from RNAcentral.
UCCGGUUUGUCACCGGCAGUCUCAUUAAAGUGCCCACCAUUACAUGCUGGCAAUUAAUGACAAGGGUUGCGCUCGUUGCGGGACUUAACCCAACAUCUCACGACACGAGCUGACGACAGCCAUGCAGCACCUGUGUAUACGUUCUCUUGCGAGCACUUUCUCAUCUCUGAAAAAUUCGUACCAUGUCAAGGGUAGGUAAGGUUUUUCGCGUUGCAUCGAAUUAAUCCACAUCAUCCACCGCUUGUGCGGGUCCCCGUCAAUUCCUUUGAGUUUUAAUCUUGCGACCGUACUCCCCAGGCGGUCAACUUCACGCGUUAGCUGCGUUACCAAGACAAUUAAGUCCCGACAACUAGUUGACAUCGUUUAGGGCGUGGACUAC